Molecule: ribosomal RNA, 215 nt
Filed under: uncultured bacterium
Lineage: Bacteria
Description: partial 16S ribosomal RNA
Rfam family: Bacterial small subunit ribosomal RNA
Source: RNAcentral
GACGAACGCUGGCGGCGUGCUUAACACAUGCAAGUCGAGCGGUAAGGCCCUUUCGGGGGUACACGAGCGGCGAACGGGUGAGUAACACGUGGGUGACCUGCCCUCAGCUCUGGGAUAAGCCUGGGAAAACCGGGUCUAAUACUGGAUAUGACUCCAUGACGCAUGUUGUGGGGUGAAAGCCUUGUGCGGCUGAGGAUGGGCCCGCGGCCUAUCAG